GCCGACGUAGCUCAGCUGGCCAGAGCGUCUGAUUUGUAAUCAGAGGGUCGCCGGUUCGAAUCCGGCCGUCGGCU
The sequence is a transfer RNA, 74 nucleotides long. It matches the Rfam family "tRNA". From Rfam's summary of the family: Transfer RNA (tRNA) molecules are approximately 80 nucleotides in length. Their secondary structure includes four short double-helical elements and three loops (D, anti-codon, and T loops).